GAGUUCGUAGGCCAACGGUUAGGAUAAUUGCCAUCCAAGCAAUUGACCCGCGUUCGACUCCCGGCAAACGCA
RNAcentral lists this transfer RNA (72 nucleotides) under Rhododendron griersonianum. RNAcentral's name for it is "tRNA-Gly". It matches the Rfam family "tRNA". Rfam says of the family: Transfer RNA (tRNA) molecules are approximately 80 nucleotides in length. Their secondary structure includes four short double-helical elements and three loops (D, anti-codon, and T loops). The record is from RNAcentral. Lineage: Eukaryota; Viridiplantae; Streptophyta; Magnoliopsida; Ericales; Ericaceae.